AUUGAACGCUGGCGGCAGGCCUAACACAUGCAAGUCGAACGAGCGGCGGACGGGUGAGUAAUGUAUGGGAAUCUGCCUGAUGGAGGGGGAUAACUACGGGAAACUGUAGCUAAUACCGCAUACUAUAGGAUGAGCCCAUGUGGGAUUAGCUAGUUGGUGGGGUAAAGGCUCACCAAGCCGACGAUCUCUAGCUGGUCUGAGAGGAUGACCAGCAACACUGGGACUGAGACACGGCCCAGACGCCUACGGGAGGCAGCAGUGGGGAAUAUUGCGCAAUGGGGGCAAGCCUGACGCAGCCAUGCCGCGUGAAUGAAGAAGGCCUUAGGGUUGUAAAGUUCUUUCGGUAGCGAGGCGUUACCUACAGAAGAAGCACCGGCUAACUCCGUGCCAGCAGCCGCGGUAAUAC
Molecule: ribosomal RNA, 406 nt
Filed under: uncultured bacterium
Lineage: Bacteria
Description: partial 16S ribosomal RNA
Rfam family: Bacterial small subunit ribosomal RNA
Source: RNAcentral